Molecule: unclassified non-coding RNA, 327 nt
Filed under: soil metagenome
Description: partial contains 5.8S ribosomal RNA, internal transcribed spacer 2, and large subunit ribosomal RNA
Rfam family: 5.8S ribosomal RNA (bases 1-120)
Source: RNAcentral
GAUGAAGAACGUAGCGAAAUGCGAUAAGUAAUGUGAAUUGCAGAAUUCAGUGAAUCAUCGAAUCUUUGAACGCACAUUGCGCCCCUUGGUAUUCCGAGGGGCAUGCCCGUUCGAGCGUCAUUAUACCCCUCAAGCCUAGCUUGGUGUUGGGGCCUGCUGUUACCGGCAGCCCUUAAAAUCAGUGGCGGUGCCAUCUGGCUCUAAGCGUAGUAAUACUUCUCGCUACAGGGUCCCGGUGGAUGCUUGCCAUCAACCCCUAAUUUUCUAUGGUUGACCUCGGAUCGGGUAGGGAUACCCGCUGAACUUAAGCAUAUCAAUAAGCGGGGA